AUGUUUAAAGGUCUCGUCCCUGCUGACCACCGGUUCGAGGUUGUUGUGCCUAGGAGCUUUCCCAUGGUGUGCUUCAGGAUCAAAGCCAAUGGAGCCAUGACCGAGGAAGAUGCCGAGGAGGCCAACUGUGUGCUGAUGAAGAACCUGAAUAAGACCGGCAAGGCAUACAUUGCACACACGGUGGUUGGUGAUAGGAUCGUGCUCCGGUUUGCCGCAGGAGGAGAGGCAUGUCAGGAGUGCUUGGGAGCUCAUCUAGAGCACAACAAACAAGAUGAUGAUGGAAUGAGUGGUGUGCGCCUGUAG
This 303-nucleotide ribosomal RNA is filed under the name Triticum aestivum (bread wheat). Its description in RNAcentral is "partial small subunit ribosomal RNA". Lineage: Eukaryota; Viridiplantae; Streptophyta; Magnoliopsida; Poales; Poaceae. The record is from RNAcentral.